UAGGACUCGAAAGGACUACUUAAAACCAUCGCUGAACUCACUCCAAGGUUGCUUCGGCGGCGCUGCCUCCUCCGGGGGCGUCCCCCCCUGGGACCUCGCGCAGGUGUGGGGCAGCCCGCCGGAGGUACUAUACUCUGUAUUAUGAGUGGCAUCUCUGAGUAAAAAAGCAAAUAAGUUA
This 178-nucleotide unclassified non-coding RNA is filed under the name soil metagenome. Its description in RNAcentral is "partial internal transcribed spacer 1". The record is from RNAcentral.